GACGAACGCUGGCGGCGUGCUUAACACAUGCAAGUCGAACGGAAAGGCCCUGCUUUUGUGGGGUGCUCGAGUGGCGAACGGGUGAGUAACACGUGAGUAACCUGCCCUUGACUUUGGGAUAACUUCAGGAAACUGAGGCUAAUACCGGAUAGGAGCUCCUGCUGCAUGGUGGGGGUUGGAAAGUUUCGGCGGUUGGGGAUGGACUCGCGGCUUAUCAGCUUGUUGGUGGGGUAGUGGCUUACCAAGGCUUUGACGGGUAGCCGGCCUGAGAGGGUGACCGGCCACAUUGGGACUGAGAUACGGCCCAGACUCCUACGGGAGGCAGCAGUGGGGAAUAUUGCACAAUGGGCGGAAGCCUGAUGCAGCAACGCCGCGUGCGGGAUGACGGCCUUCGGGUUGUAAACCGCUUUCGCCUGUGACGAAGCGUGAGUGACGGUAAUGGGUAAAGAAGCACCGGCUAACUACG
RNAcentral lists this ribosomal RNA (466 nucleotides) under uncultured bacterium. Its description in RNAcentral is "partial 16S ribosomal RNA". It matches the Rfam family "Bacterial small subunit ribosomal RNA", at positions 28 to 505 of the family's 1533-position model. The record is from RNAcentral.